RNAcentral lists this ribosomal RNA (29 nucleotides) under Archineura hetaerinoides. Its description in RNAcentral is "partial 28S ribosomal RNA". Lineage: Eukaryota; Metazoa; Arthropoda; Insecta; Odonata; Calopterygidae. The record is from RNAcentral.
UUUUUUUUGCGCCGACCUCAGAGCAGGUG